UACGUAGGGGGCUAGCGUUGUCCGGAAUCAUUGGGCGUAAAGCGCGUGUAGGCGGUCCGGUAAGUCCGCUGUGAAAGUCGGGGGGCUCAACCCUCGAAUGCCGGUGGAUACUGUCGGGCUAGAGUGCGGAAGAGGCGAGUGGAAUUCCUGGUGUAGCGGUGAAAUGCGCAGAUAUCAGGAGGAACACCAAUGGCGAAAGCAGCUCUCUGGGACGGUACUGACGCUGAGACGCGAAAGCGUGGGGAGCGAACAGG
Molecule: ribosomal RNA, 254 nt
Filed under: uncultured bacterium
Lineage: Bacteria
Description: partial 16S ribosomal RNA
Rfam family: Bacterial small subunit ribosomal RNA
Source: RNAcentral